RNAcentral lists this ribosomal RNA (515 nucleotides) under uncultured bacterium. RNAcentral's name for it is "partial 16S ribosomal RNA". It matches the Rfam family "Bacterial small subunit ribosomal RNA", at positions 28 to 523 of the family's 1533-position model. The record is from RNAcentral.
GAUGAACGCUGGCGGCGUGCCUAAUACAUGCAAGUCGAGCGAAUGGAUUAAGAGCUUGCUCUUAUGAAGUUAGCGGCGGACGGGUGAGUAACACGUGGGUAACCUGCCCAUAAGACUGGGAUAACUCCGGGAAACCGGGGCUAAUACCGGAUAACAUUUUGAACCGCAUGGUUCGAAAUUGAAAGGCGGCUUCGGCUGUCACUUAUGGAUUGACCCGCGUCGCAUGAGCUAGUUGGUGAGGUAACGGCUCACCAAGGCAACGAUGCGUAGCCGACCUGAGAGGGUGAUCGGACACACUGGGACUGAGACACGGCCCAGACUCCUACGGGAGGCAGCAGUAGGGAAUCUUCCGCAAUGGACGAAAGUCUGACGGAGCAACGCCGCGUGAGUGAUGAAGGCUUUCGGGUCGUAAAACUCUGUUGUUAGGGAAGAACAAGUGCUAGUUGAAUAAGCUGGCACCUUGACGGUACCUAACCAGAAAGCCACGGCUAACUACGUGCCAGCCGCCGCAGUAA